GAUGAACGCUAGCGGGAGGCUUAACACAUGCAAGUCGAGGGGCAUCACGAGGUAGCAAUACUUUGGUGGCGACCGGCGCACGGGUGAGUAACACGUAUGCAACCUACCCUGUACAGGGGGAUAACCCGGAGAAAUUCGGACUAAUAUCCCAUGAUGAUAUUGAGGGGCAUCCUUUAAUAUUUAAAGCUCAGGCGGUACGGGAUGGGCAUGCGGAACAUUAGCUAGUUGGCAGGGUAACGACCUACCAAGGCUAAGAUGUUUAGGGGACCUGAGAGGGGUAUCCCCCACACGGGUACUGGGACACGGGCCAGAAUCCUACGGGAGGCAGCAGUGAGGAAUAUUGGUCAAUGGGCGCAAGCCUGAACCAGCCAGCCCGCGUGAAGGAAGAAGGCGCUAUGCGUUGUAAACUUCCUUUCCAGGGGGUGAAUAAUUCCGAUGUAUCGGGAGAUGACGGUACCCUGGGAAUAAGCAUCGGCUAACUCCGUGCCAGCAGCCGCAGUAA
Molecule: ribosomal RNA, 502 nt
Filed under: uncultured bacterium
Lineage: Bacteria
Description: partial 16S ribosomal RNA
Rfam family: Bacterial small subunit ribosomal RNA
Source: RNAcentral